GCGUUUGGGUAAUCGCUGCAUGCUUGUCAUGUAGAGGAAAGUCCAUGCUCGCACAGGCUGCGAUGCCUGUAGUGUUCGUGCCUAGUGAAUUCAUAAGCUAGGGCAGCCAAGGAUCUUGGCUGACGGCAGGGAAACGACCUAAGUCCUCUGGAUAUGGUCCGAAUACCUUGAAAGUGCCACAGUGACGGAGUCCAACUAGAAAUGGUUGGAGUGGAACGAGGUAAACCCCACGAGCGAGAAACCCAAAUUAUGGUAGGGGCGUGUUCUCUAAGGAAUUGAACGAUGAGAACGACAGAUGAUGUUUCAUCUGUAGAUAGAUGAUUACCACCUGAGUACGAGACACUUAGUCAGUCGCUUGGAGUACGAUGGUACAAAACAUGGCUUACAAAA
Molecule: RNase P RNA, 390 nt
Filed under: Bacillus mesophilus
Lineage: Bacteria; Bacillati; Bacillota; Bacilli; Caryophanales; Bacillaceae
Description: Bacterial RNase P class B
Rfam family: Bacterial RNase P class B
About the family: Ribonuclease P (RNase P) is a ubiquitous endoribonuclease, found in archaea, bacteria and eukarya as well as chloroplasts and mitochondria.
Source: Rfam by way of RNAcentral